AAAAGUGCUUACAGUGCAGGUAGCUUUUUGAGAUCUACUGCAAUGUAAGCACUUCUUAC
This 59-nucleotide microRNA precursor is filed under the name Homo sapiens (human). RNAcentral's name for it is "Hsa-Mir-17-P1c_pre stem-loop". It matches the Rfam family "mir-17 microRNA precursor family", at positions 11 to 70 of the family's 80-position model. From Rfam's summary of the family: This family represents the microRNA (miRNA) precursor mir-17, family, which includes mir-20, mir-91, and mir-103. miRNAs are transcribed as ~70nt precursors (modelled here) and subsequently processed by the Dicer enzyme to give a ~22nt product. In this case the mature sequence comes from the 3' arm of the precursor. Lineage: Eukaryota; Metazoa; Chordata; Mammalia; Primates; Hominidae. The record is from RNAcentral.